CUCUACAUUCUUGAAAUGCUCUUCUCAUGGGAGACAUUAAAUAAGCUUUGAAUUAACUGAAUGUACAGGGUGUACCAUGAACAAUUCUGACAUGUGAUUUAAUCUAUGUGGGACUACAUUUUAAAUACAUUUGGGAAGGAUUGAACAAUGAAGUGGAGCCCAUCAAUAUUGGUACUGAAAAUGAGACAGCUCUGAAGUAAGCCCUUAAGUAAAAGUGCCAUCAAAUGAUUUCUCAGAAAUUAUAAAGAAACAAAAGGACCAUAAACAAGAUAAGGUGGCAUGAGGAAACAUUACAAGUACCUUUCAGAGCUGACUGGCAAAGAAACUCCUGAGGUGACGGUUCUACCCCAAUAUUACUUCUUCGAAGAGCAACCUAACUGGACUUAUCUUCCUCAGUUCUCUGUGAUGAACUUUUGUAGAGCCAUACGAAAGGAGGUUUUUAGCUCUCACCUGUGGUCUUUCUUCAUCAUGCACCUCCUAGAUUCAAAAGUUCAGCAGGGACAUGUCAAGCUAUAUAAAUAAAAACAAACUAAGAAAAAAUGUAACAUUCCAUACCUUAAAACGCAACCUUAAUAACGUGAAAGACCCUGAAGGACUUGAGACGUGAAGAUUUUCUACCACGGUCUUUGCCUGUAUUAUUUCUGACAGCUGUUCCUUUCUACUC
RNAcentral lists this long non-coding RNA (664 nucleotides) under Homo sapiens (human). Its description in RNAcentral is "SATB1 antisense RNA 1". Lineage: Eukaryota; Metazoa; Chordata; Mammalia; Primates; Hominidae. The record is from RNAcentral.